RNAcentral lists this ribosomal RNA (497 nucleotides) under uncultured bacterium. RNAcentral's name for it is "partial 16S ribosomal RNA". It matches the Rfam family "Bacterial small subunit ribosomal RNA", at positions 28 to 507 of the family's 1533-position model. The record is from RNAcentral.
GACGAACGCUGGCGGCGUGCCUAAUACAUGCAAGUUGAGCGCUGAAGGUUGGUACUUGUACCAACUGGAUGAGCAGCGAACGGGUGAGUAACGCGUGGGGAAUCUGCCUUUGAGCGGGGGACAACAUUUGGAAACGAAUGCUAAUACCGCAUAAAAACUUUAAACACAAGUUUUAAGUUUGAAAGAUGCAAUUGCAUCACUCAAAGAUGAUCCCGCGUUGCAUUAGCUAGUUGGUGAGGUAAAGGCUCACCAAGGCGAUGAUACAUAGCCGACCUGAGAGGGGGAUCGGCCACAUUGGGACUGAGACACGGCCCAAACUCCUACGGGAGGGAGCAGUAGGGAAGCUUCGGCAAGGGACGAAAGUCUGACCGAGCAACGCCGCGUGAGUGAAGAAGGUUUUCGGAUCGUAAAACUCUGUUGGUAGAGAAGAACGUUGGUGAGAGUGGAAAGCUCAUCAAGUGACGGUAACUACCCAGAAAGGGACGGCUAACUACGUG